GAGGGAAAGCAGGGGAUCGCAAGACCUUGCGCUUUUGGAGCGGCCGAUGUCUGAUUAGCUAGUUGGUGAGGUAAAGGCUUACCAAGGCGUCGAUCAGUAGCUGGUCUGAGAGGACGACCAGCCACACUGGGACUGAGACACGGCCCAGACUCCUACGGGAGGCAGCAGUGGGGAAUUUUGGACAAUGGGGGAAACCCUGAUCCAGCCAUGCCGCGUGAGUGAAGAAGGCCUUCGGGUUGUAAAGCUCUUUCAGCCGGAACGAAACGGUCACGGCUAAUACCUGUGACCACUGACGGUACCGGAAGAAGAAGCACCGGCUAACUACGUGCCAGCAGCCGCGGUAAUACGUAGGGUGCAAGCGUUAAUCGGAAUUACUGGGCGUAAAGCGUG
RNAcentral lists this ribosomal RNA (390 nucleotides) under uncultured Nitrosospira sp. RNAcentral's name for it is "bacterial SSU rRNA". It matches the Rfam family "Bacterial small subunit ribosomal RNA", at positions 198 to 569 of the family's 1533-position model. The record is from RNAcentral. Lineage: Bacteria; Pseudomonadati; Pseudomonadota; Betaproteobacteria; Nitrosomonadales; Nitrosomonadaceae.